UUGGUCGAGUUAAUGGAGUUGUUUCGGCUCAUCGAACUUUCAGAUGCAUGGUGGCCCUAAGUCAUGCGGUUUACACGAGCUGGAUGGCAGCUGCAACUUUCUUUUUUUCCGUUGCCUUAUUUUCAUGUUUAUAGUUUAUGUUAUUUCGUGAGAGUUUUAACUAUGGGAGUGGCGGUGGUGUCCAUAGAUAGAUUUGAUAUGAAGACAAUGUUGACAGUAAUUCAAGAGUGAAAGAUAGACUGCACCCGCGGUGGUGCUGAUAACUAAGGAUCCUAGGUUGUUAGACGGCUAAGCUUUUAGCUCUCUAGAUGUUGUAGGUUGCAGCGUUGCUUCGCUUAGGAAAAGCGUAGUUGAACUGUUCCGUGAACAAUUUCAAAAUUUGACGUUAUAUCAGGUUAGUUAAACACCAAACUUGGAUUUUUACCAUUAACCGGUGGUUAAUUUCUCAUAUUGGUUAUUCAAUGUGUAGCGUAUGAUCUACCAUUAAGUAAUAAAAAAGUACAGAUGGAACGUCACGUUAGCUACCGGCAAAUGCUCCCCUGCUUUUAUUUCAAAUUUGAAUUGAAUUGCUAAAUGUUUUUAAAUCCUAACUUAUUGUACCAAGUAAAAUCAUUUUAAUUAAAAUGCAAAAAUUCAUAAAGGUUUAAAUUUUUUAUGCCAUUAUCCAAAAAUAUAUUAAAUGUCAUGAAAUACAUCAUAAUAGUUAAUUGACAAAAGGAGAGAAGCACCACGGUACUUCUCCGUUUCGGUUAGUCAAAUAACCUUAUAGGGGUGUUGGAGUUGGUGGUAUUAGAGCUAACGUUUAGGCCUUUCUAGGUGUUAAGGAGAAGGAACAAGUAUAAGCAAAUGUGUAUACCUUAUAGGUUAAGGUCUGGAUAUAACUCUACUAUAGGCUUUUGUAAGUUGGCUAAGAAUGUUAUUUGACAUUCAACAUGUGUUAGAAGAUACAGGUGAUAGUCUAAAGUCGUGAUCGCGAUAAUCUAUUCAAUGCUACAAAUGUUUGUAUUGUAAGCUGCAGAUUGCAUUAUGGACAUUAGAGCAUUGAGUGGAAAUUGUGUGCAUCACUUUUAAGAAUCUGCUAGGAUAUAGUAGAUGCCUUAUAUCUGAUGCAGCUGUACCAUGACAAGUUUCUAACUGCUAUGAAUUGACUUCAAAUAAAAGUUUAUAUCCUUUUAGAAUAAAAUACUAGAGAUAUUAGCAAUAAGGUAUAGAAAAAUUCUAUGAGAGCGACAAUGUACUCAAAAAAUAUAAUUGUUUUUGUGUUGUUUAUCGUUAAAAAGAGGAAUUUUAUAAAUAUUAUGAUAUAAGAGAAAUGAAAAAAAGGAGAGGUAUGAGCAGGUGAAAUAGGCUAGAACAUGUUAGUGACCAAUCUUCUUGUUCACUUUUUACUGUGAUGAUUGUUUGAUAUCGAAACAGUCUUAACCUUCGAGAGAAAUAAAUUUGAAUUAUCAUAGUAACGGAUUCAAGAGUUUUAAAGAAAGCUUAAUUAUCUAAACAUUGUGUAAGAGAAGAUUGAAGAUACAAGGAGAAUACGCACAUAAAAUAAGUAAUAGUUAUGAGAUGGUAGGUGUGAUUAAGGGGUUAAUUUAUCUCAUUAAUGACAUAUUAGUUACUCUAGCUAGGAAAAAAUAAGGAAGAUUGUAGAGUCUAUCAAACUUUUAAGAAUAUGACAUAAAUAGUGUAUGAAUUCCUAAUGUACUUUUUGAUAAAUAUUUUGAUUCAUCACUUGGAAGUGGAUAGAGUUGCCUUUAAGAUUAUAUUGAAGGUCUAUGUUGGAAAACCGAAUUAAUCACUGCAAUAGUUUAUUCUUUUUCCCUUUUUAGAAGCAUUAUUAUAUUUGAUAAGGUUAGAUAAAUUAUUUUGGCGGAAUUGAUGUUAUUUGAGAUAAUAUUGUUGUUUAUUGGAAGUUUAGUUUUUAUCUAUAUUGGUGAUAUAGUUUGAUUUUAAACACUUUAAUUGGUACAAGUAAUUAUUAUUGAUAGGUUAUAUUGAUAUCUGUUUAUAUAUAAAUAUGUGUAUAUAUAUAUAUAUAUAUAUAUAUGUUUUGAAUAUUGGUAUUUAGUUUCUUAAUAAGAUUGUGCAAAGUAUAGCUAUGAAAAUAUGAAAAUAUAAUUAUUUAUAUUUCCUUAGUUAUUUACUGGAUUCUAGAUAUAACCCUUAUUCCUCCAAUAGAUUGUUGAAUAAAUGAAUAAGAUUGUUUUUGUAUAGCAUAGUGUGAUAUUGUGGUUGAUUAUUAGCAAGAAUAAAUUAUGUUUGUAUAAACUUUAUGUUAUUAUCUAUUGUUAAGAGCUACGUGGACCUGAUCCUCUAUUGGAGGUACGUAGGCAGCCUUCGGGUGCGGUCGAAAUAUAACAUAUGUUAAGACUUUAAUUAGCAAAUAGUAGCAAUGUAAAUUCAAGCCAUAUUAACAGAUUUGUGAUAUAAAAGGCAGUGUCGCAGUCUAGAUAUAGAACGUAAGUUGGCAUUUGAAAGGCAGUGUCGUAGUUCAGUUAUGAGGCAUAGACGAAGUGUCGCACCUAUCCCAAUUCCUCAUUCACUAGCAGACUAAAUGAAAUUAUUGCUUGAAAAAAUAAAGAAUAAUGGCAUAAAAAUCCAAAAUUUUAUUUCUUGGCACAAUAAAUUAGGAUUUAAAAAUAUUUGGCUAUUCUUUCUAAAUUUGAAUUGAAAGUGGGGGAGCAUCUGUCGGUAGCAGGCCAUAUUGUAUUUUUAUAUUACUUGAUGCUGGACUCUACGCUACACCUUGGAUAACCAAGGCGAGGUAUUAAUCGUUGGUUAAUUAAGAUAAAAUUCUUAAAUGGUGUAGAAAAACCUAAAACGCUCUCAUCGACGCCGUCGCUCGCUGCCGAAUUUAUUUUUUCCACUUCGUCCUUCGCACAAAAAGUUGGCCUUCUCGCUUCACCACCAUUUUGGCCUCAGAAAAGGAGAUAUUGCCUUCGUGCUUUCUCUUAGCUCUAUUCACCUUUCGGUCCUUUAUUUCUAUAUCUUCUCUCUCGGUGUCGUUACCUCUCAUAAAAAAUCAAUUAUCUUUAAACUUGAGAUUCUCCACCAAAUUCAGCUGUCGAAACCUGUACUUGUGUUCGUCAUGUCGAAUGCUGCUCAUACAAUUCCUAAUCUCAAAACAAUCGUACUCGACUCUCCCGAGUUUGAAUCGCUGAUGAUUGAGGAUCCUAACUAAUGAAAACUAAGUGUGGUUGUUCUCCUAUAAAAUGCUCUGGUUUACUAGAGAUGUUAAAGCUACUGGCAAUAAAUAUUGCCUAGAGGAGAAUCUGGAAAAUUAGCUCUUCUCUUCAUAAUCAGUGUCUCACUAAAAGGACAUUACUGUACGGUGCAUGGAAAUGCAUGCUAGAAUUCCUAACCUGUUGGACCUUGAUGGCCUAAAACUUAGUUUCUUUAGGCUGGGUGUUGUCCCUUAACUUAGUUUUUGCACUCUUGAGCAAUACCUGCCUGGCAGUUAUUCCUUUGUUGAUGAUGCUAGCUGUUUGUGUUCCGCCUACUGAAGUUGGUCCUUCAGGGUUUUAUAGAUCCCGGUGCAAGUGCUGAUCUUGCUGUGGUUUUAAUGCAAGAAGGACUUGCACACAUCUUACUUGUCGGUAAAAGCUACUCGAUCAAGGAUAGAGACUUCAAUUCCUCGAAAGCAUGGCCCUGCCAUUGCUGGUUAUGAGUCGGCAUUGAAUAAGUUCUUUGAGCAUGUUUUACAGGCUUUCCUAAAGCAUAUUGAUUUCAGUGUCAUUCGUUGUGCGGUGAUUGCAAGCCCUGGUUUCACUAAGGUUUGCAAUAAAUGUGUUCCUACAAUCAGGUCAAUGGUAAGCCAACAUGUGCUGAUCCAAAUCUUCUUUCUAGGGUCAUUCGAGGCGAAUGGAAAUUGAAUGGAUACAUAGUUUCUGACUGUGAUUCAAUAUAUGAGUUCUUCAAUGGACAGCACUAUACCAAAACACCAGAAGAAGCUGCAGCUACAGCAAUAUUGGCAGGUCUGGAUCUCAAUUGCUGGUGAUUCUUAGGCCAGCACACUGAAGUCUUGGUCCCACUAUGAUGAGUCGAAUAUUGACAAGGCUAUCUCAAAUAAUUUUGCUACUAUGAUGAGACUUGGUUUUUUUUAUGGUGAUCCUACCAAGCAAAUCUAUGGAAAUCUUGGUCCAAAACAUGGUAUCCACUAUCAUUCAUGAACAUGAGAGCAGAUCCUUUGACGGGCUAUCCAGGCAGAACCUACAGAUUUCAUACUGGACAAACUGUUUAUUCAUCCAAGAGCUCCAAGCAUAGCCCAUCUGCAGUGAAUCACUUCAAGCUCACGGUUCUUGACAAAAGUUUCUGAGUCAGCACAGAGACCAACAAUAUCCCAUCCAUAGUCACCUGGGAACUCACUAGUCAAGUAAGACGGAAGCUCACUGGAGAAUGGACAUGGCCAUUGCCCAUGAGCUUAGGGGCAAAGGAGAAGAGCUUCACCGCCUUGCUAGUGGAAGUGGUGGGUGGAAAAGAGAAGGGGUCCAAUGGGUAUUAAUAGAUAGUUGGGGAUGGAUUUCCUUAUCUCAGUGAAAUCUACGUUCAGGAUUCCAUAAGAGGAGUAUUUAAAUCUAUCACUUCAUUGGAAGUUGUAGAUUUUAUUUGUUUGUUUUUUUUAUCCUAUAUGAUAUUCUUUGGACCGCUAAAUUCUUAUAUUUAUUUAUUGUUCAUAUCGAUGUUCCAUAUUUAGAUUGAUCGAUCCAUACUUUGAUAAAUUUUCACAUUAAAAAAAAAAUUUUUU
This is a long non-coding RNA of Manihot esculenta (cassava), 4738 nucleotides long. RefSeq lists it as uncharacterized. The transcript is spliced from 8 exons. NCBI's taxonomy places the organism in Eukaryota, Viridiplantae, Streptophyta, Magnoliopsida, Malpighiales, Euphorbiaceae. The record is from RefSeq and is a predicted model, not a curated record.